Molecule: long non-coding RNA, 1058 nt
Organism: Oreochromis niloticus (Nile tilapia)
Lineage: Eukaryota; Metazoa; Chordata; Actinopteri; Cichliformes; Cichlidae
Exons: 2
Source: RefSeq, a predicted model, not a curated record
AUUUGUAUUUUAAAGGCUAUAAGUUUGUUUUUGUGGGGUUUUCUUUGUUGCAACAUCAAGUACUUGGCUGUGACUGUCCUUGCAGGCGCGGUGUGUAUAAGAAUGUUGUGCUCUUUCUGAGAGACAGAACCAAAGAAAACACUAUGGUUUGGCGGCAGAUACAGGAGAAUCACAUGCAGGAGUACCUUCAGCGGAAGGACCUGUACACCACGCUCCUAAUGACUUGCGGAGCCCGGGGGUAUCAUCUCAUCCUUACGGCACACAUUCCAGGCGCCACUUCCUCCAAGAGAGCUUCCCUUUGCAUGGCUCUUGCGCCAGACUUUCCUGCUGGCAGAGGCCAGCAAUAUGAGGGAUUACCGAAGCCAGAUUCUGUCCACUUUUGGCACCGUGCUGAAAAUGGAUUUCACCAAAGUGGUGAAAAAGAUGUCUGGGGAAGGUCAAGGCUCAGCAGAAUGGUUCAGCAGUAUCAGAAAUGAACACUCACAAAUAGUAACAUUUGUGCUGACCUGCGAGGAGUCCUUUGACAAGCUGCAGCCAAUAUACUGUGGAGUUAUGGAAAGGUUUCACUUGGCCAAUCAGCCUGUUCCAAAAUUUUGUAUGUGGACCGUGGGUGUUGCCGUGCACAGGGACCAUCAGUAGUAGAGGCCUUGUUUCAGCCUUGGGUGGACAGUGGGAUGCUUGUGCGUCUGGACAUCUUUUACUCAUGCAAAGUACUCUGCAUUUAAGUCAGCACUGAAGUGAGUCUCUUCAAAACACCAGGUAGAAAAGUCCUCAUUUCAAAAGGUUGUUAUAAUAUUAAUACAAAUUGGGACAAACUAAAGAUCACACAAGGUGAAAUAUGAGCCCACGCCCAGCACUGUAGGGACCAAGGUUUUGAAGGGAAGGAGAGACUUGCUGAUGCCAGUCUUCCAGCCCCAGCCACCUCUUCCACCUGUGCCACUACCACCAGCACUUGGAAAGACCCCUGCAACCUCUACCAUCACCAGAUCUGUGUCUUCAGUGGCUGCUUCUACAUCAACCUCUGAGACUGUUGGGCCCCCCAUUCUGCAAAAAAAAAC